GGACAACAGGCCCAAGACAUUACAGGAGAUGGUUAGAAGAUUCUACCUACCCCAGAGCAGUCAGAUGAGCUGAAGUCCUCACUACUGCUAACCACAUUCUGGAUGCUCUCAAUUUGGAAAACAGGAGCUGUACAAACAUAGUGGAAGAAGCCAUCCCUUCCCUGAAGGUGUCCUCUGAUGAUCUAAAACCAGAAGGAGCCGAUGGAGAUGUACUAAAACAGGUCUUGCAGGAUCUCUAAUCCAUCUCAGCUGCGUUCGUCUUUUAAAUACUUCUUCAAAGUCCACAUUUUGCUGCAAUGCUUGAAGAAAACACGUUUCCAAAGAACAGCGCCGUGCAACUUGGAAUCGAGCGGAUCCAGCGGGGCAGGGGACGACAGACAGAAUUUCAACACCAAAGAGGCGGCGUAAAGCAGGUGUGCGUUUGCUCGAGGGGGGCUAGAGUUACA
Molecule: long non-coding RNA, 446 nt
Organism: Calidris pugnax (ruff)
Lineage: Eukaryota; Metazoa; Chordata; Aves; Charadriiformes; Scolopacidae
Exons: 5
Source: RefSeq, a predicted model, not a curated record